UGAGUAACGCGUGGAGUAACCUGCCCUAGAGUGGGGGACAACAGGUUGGAAACGACUGCUAAUACCGCAUAAGCCCACAGUACCGCAUGGUACUGAGGGAAAAGGAUUUAUUCGCUUUAGGAUGGACUCGCGUCCAAUUAGCUAGUUGGUGAGGUAACGGCCCACCAAGGCGACGAUUGGUAGCCGGACUGAGAGGUUGAACGGCCACAUUGGGACUGAGACACGGCCCAGACUCCUACGGGAGGCAGCAGUGGGGGAUAUUGCACAAUGGGGGAAACCCUGAUGCAGCGACGCCGCGUGGAGGAAGAAGGUUUUCGGAUUGUAAACUCCUGUCGUUAGGGACGAUAAUGACGGUACCUAACAAGAAAGCACCGGCUAACUACGUGCCAGCAGCCGCGGUAAAACGUAGGGUGCAAGCGUUGUCCGGAAUUGCUGGGUGUAAAGGGAGCGCAGGCGGGAAGACAAGUUGGAAGUGAAAACCAUGGGCUCAACCCAUGAAUUGCUUUCAAAACUGUUUUUCUUGAGUAGUGCAGAGGUAGAUGGAAUUCCCGGUGUAGCGGUGGAAUGCGUAGAUAUCGGGAGGAACACCAGUGGCGAAGGCGGUCUACUGGGCACCAACUGACGCUGAGGCUCGAAAGCAUGGGUAGCAAACAGGAUUAGAUACCCUGGUAGUCCAUGCCGUAAACGAUGAUUACUAGGUGUUGGGGGAUUGACCCCCUCAGUGCCGCAGUUAACACAAUAAGUAAUCCACCUGGGGAGUACGACCGCAAGGUUGAAACUCAAAGGAAUUGACGGGGGCC
Molecule: ribosomal RNA, 800 nt
Filed under: uncultured bacterium
Lineage: Bacteria
Description: bacterial SSU rRNA
Rfam family: Bacterial small subunit ribosomal RNA
Source: RNAcentral